Molecule: long non-coding RNA, 1028 nt
Organism: Betta splendens (Siamese fighting fish)
Lineage: Eukaryota; Metazoa; Chordata; Actinopteri; Anabantiformes; Osphronemidae
Exons: 5
Source: RefSeq, a predicted model, not a curated record
UCCGGUUUGACGGCAGGUUUCAGUUAGCGGUUAGAGAGCAGUUAAAGAGCUUCACCGCCUAAGAAGAACUUACGGAACAGAAACAUUACAAUACAAUAAUCGAAUGAAUAAACUUAACACUAACACUACUGUCGACUAAUUUGUUUUUUGCGAGCUAAGGGUUUUUUUCUUACGGGUUUCUGGCAGAGCCUCCAAAUACUGUAGGAGGUCACCGGACAAGCUAGCGUUAGCUUAGCUGCAAUCAUAAACCUUCCGCCAGUGACGACAUAAGCAAAGCGCUGAGGCCCUGUGGCAGAAAAAACGGAGUGAAAGAGCAAGAGAGAGAUGUAUGAGAAAAGAAAGAAGCACAAAAGAGGAGAUACAGAAAGACAAAAGAGUUUGAGCGAGAGCAGAGUGAGAGCGGCUGAUAUCUCAUAUCCAAGACAUCAGAAUCUGUCCUGUGGAGAACAUCGAAAAGCACUCUCAGAUCAAUCAGCCUCUUCAAGUAGAAGGACUUAUAGAGGGCAUUGAGGAAGUCUUGGGCCUGUCUCUCCAGCUGGCUGAUCCGAGACUGCUCCUGUUUGAGGGCUUCACACUCCGACAGCACCUGGCUGCCGCCGCCGUUGUCUGCGCCGUGCUCCUACGCAGACAAACACAGGGACAAAUGGGACUGCAUCCAGAAACCACCCCUUCACCAAGAACACAAUAAUAAGCAGCGGACCGACUCGCAGGCGGCGCCGGCUGCGUUCAGACCCGGGACCCGUGACAUCGGAGCUGUGGGGACGGGACCAUUCUCUGUGGAUCCUCUGUGUCGGUGGUGCCUGGAUCCUCAGUGUUUAAGAAGCUGCAUUCUGGUCGGGUGUCAUUCAAACACCAGCAGGAACCACCUUCAUAAAACACGCAGGUCCAGGACGUGGGUGGUUUUCCCCUGUUUAGUGACAUCUGUCUCUGGUUUGCAGCAUAAAUUAAGAUGGCUGCUGCACAAAGAUAAAUAAUCAUGUUGUGUUGUCUGAAUUCUGUAUGCGAGGCAAUAAAAUGUCUUGAAGACA